GCAAAAUUUAUGGACAUGCACUUUCAUCAGAACUUUUCUACUACUUAGAGCACAUUGAGAAUGAGUUCACAAUAUAUCAUUUCUGCAAAGACCGAGCCAAGUGCCCUGCUUCUGACCUAUUCUGCUAUCAAUUUCUUCUUAGAAUUCUCAGGUUUCUAAAAAAACUUCUAAAUUCUGUUAUAAUCAAUAAAUACUUCCCAGAACAAAAAUUUAUAUUGUUUAUUAAAAUGUUUUUAAAUGAAGUUAUUAAAAAUGAAAACAGGAUUAACACUGUUAGCUUAAUGGGAUAUACAUUUUAAGAAUACCUUGAUAGUAAUGGAUCCUAAAUUUGUUUUCAUUUGAUACCUUGAUAAUAGCCAUGUGCCUGGUUUCUUUUCCUUUUCUAAAAAUCAGAAAUGUAGUACAAACUGAAAUUAAACUCAUUGAUAGGUGGACCACUUGAUUUUAUAACAAAUUUUAUCAUUGUAACUUCAUGAUGAUAAUGUGUAUGGUUCAUGGAUAGCAAUUGAAUCUCAAUUUCUGCUGCAAAAUGUUACCUGAUUUUUCAGUCCAUUAACUGUGACUUAAAAAAAUAAAUAAAAAACAAUUUUUAAAAGUAAAAAUAUAAUUUUCAAACUCACUUAGUAAGCUUUUGCGUAACAAAUUAAUUUAUGAUCAAAUAUAUAUAUAUUUUUUUCAGGGAAAACACGUUACAAAUUUACUUGUUCCAGGUUAUUAAAAAUUAUUAGGUAUUUCUUUUAGCUUUCAAAAAGAGAUUUUCUUUUUAAUCAUUUGGGACUCAGAGAAAUGGUACCAUAUUUAAAAUGUUAAAUCCUAGGACAGGUGUCAUUCUUAAAAAUAUAUUACAUUUAGUUCUUAUUAUUUUUAUAAGAUUAAUGAUUGGAUAGCAUUAUGUAGUGAGAGAGGAUAUGUAGCAGAGAGAGGCUUCUUCUGGAAGGCCAAAUAUCAAAAUAGAUAGAAUAUUUCCUAAUGCCAAGACAGGCACUGAGGAUGGUCAAUUCAAUGAGCAAUUUGAUAAAGCUCAAUGGAAAUUUCAAGUCAUUUGUUUGUCUGUUGUCCAGAAAUUAGUUUUAAUUAUCUGAUAAAUUCACCCAGUUGCAGGAGCUCCUUUUUGAUCAUAUCACAUAAUUGUAGUUGUAUUACACCUUUCAAGCAAGAAGAGAAAAAUUCCUUUCUAAAUUAAUUUUCAGUGAGUGCAUGUGGGUUCUUGAUUCAUUCGGCAAGCACCCACAGGGUCAUUAAUACAUUUCUUCCAACUCCCCCAAGACAGCUAGUAUCAUUCAUCAUGUGUUAACUGUCAUUAUGUGGCAUUUAUAUGCUUUAUCCCUAAGUUUGACUGUCUAACUUAUCCUUUGGCCCAUAGCCCUCUUUUCUUGUUGAGAAAUUCAUGGCAGGUUAUCAAGGUCAAACUUUUGAUAAGUUUUUCUGUCACAUAGCUUAUCCAUUAUUUGAAGUUUCACUAGAUUGGGCCCUGUUCUGUCCCCAACUAAUUCUUGGGUAUUGGAAAUAUACUAUGGAAUUUAGUCUUAUUAUGACUGAAGACAUCUGGAAUUUAAGUUAGAUAAUUAACUAUCUUAAUAUCUAAGAUAUUAUUGAUCAUUAUUGAAUGAUCCUUGGCCAAUGUUAAAAAAAAUUAGAGUUAGUUUGUGAUAAUUGGUGGAUGAAAUUUGGAAGUUUUAUUUAAAAGAAAUAAGACAGUCCCAAAAUGCUGAGCAUGUAUCUUCUUGGGAAAUAGGGUCUGUUGGAAAAUACUAACCAUAAUUGAAAUUAAUGGAAACAUAUAACAUGCAUUGAAGAGGAACAUUUCCAAGCAACAUUAUGUUGGGUAUUAAUAUUCCCUUUCUUUCUCUCUUUUUGGAACAAAACAAAACAAAACAAAACAAAACACCUAUGUUUUAAAAUAUUCAGAGGGACUUAGUCACAUUACAAGAAAAGUUUUGGACCUUUAUUAUGUGGUAUAUAAUAUAUUACUUGUUGGAAUUUUAAAAAUAGGUAAGGAAAAAGCUAUUUUAUUUAUUUCAGAUAUUCUAAUUCAAAGGUUAAGGAAAUGAUGUAGGAACUACUCACCAGGUGUGAUUAUUCCUCGAAUUUUAUAGGCAGAUUUACUUUGACCCAGUGUCACCACACCUAUCACCAAAUAUUCUUAUGAUAAAUGAUUUAUGUUGUUUUAUUUUCAGGUCCUUGCUCAUUUGUCGUCUGUGAGCUCCCAUCCACCUGCCCCCCCCCCCAAUUUCUUUUAUUCUCUCUUGGUUUCUUGAUUUCUUAAUGCAUCUUAUUUGUAAAUCAUUUGGAAAUUAACAGAUGAAGCCCUUCUUAUGAACAGAUAUUCAUAAACUUCUUUAAUGCCCAAGUGGGGUAUAUUGGGUUUAUUAGCAUUAUAGCAAUAUGGCAAUAAUAUAUUAUAAGGAAAAAUAGCAACAAUUAUUGUUUUCUUAAUACACUCCAACACUAUGCUAAGUACUUUAUGAAUGUUAACUCACUUUUUCCUUUAAUUCUCACCUAAUUCACAUGAACCCUGUCUCUCUUUCCAACAUUUGAGUCAUUUAUGUAAACAGUUUUACAUUUUUUUAAGUGUCCAUGUUCAGGGAAAUGAAGUUUCUGAGUAGCUCUGAAAAGAAACUACUCACUGAAAAAGAGAGAUUCCCAUGGUGCUACCUAGGCUUAUCUUGAAAAAUUACCUCUGUAUGUUUUUUGACAUAUUAAUUAUGUAUCUUUCACAGACACAUUAAAAUAAAUAGUAUUUGUAAAAAAGUC
Neofelis nebulosa (Clouded leopard) is the source of this 2754-nucleotide long non-coding RNA. RefSeq lists it as uncharacterized. The record is from RefSeq and is a predicted model, not a curated record. NCBI's taxonomy places the organism in Eukaryota, Metazoa, Chordata, Mammalia, Carnivora, Felidae. The transcript is spliced from 2 exons.